RNAcentral lists this ribosomal RNA (253 nucleotides) under uncultured bacterium. RNAcentral describes it as "partial 16S ribosomal RNA". It matches the Rfam family "Bacterial small subunit ribosomal RNA", at positions 524 to 776 of the family's 1533-position model. The record is from RNAcentral.
UACAGAGGUCUCAAGCGUUGUUCGGAUUCAUUGGGCGUAAAGGGUGCGUAGGUGGUGAGGGAAGUCGGAUGUGAAAGCUCGGAGCUCAACUCCGAAAUGGCAUUGGAAACUACCUUGCUCGAGGGUUGGAGGGGGGACUGGAAUGCUUGGUGUAGCAGUGAAAUGCGUAGAUAUCAAGCGGAACACCAGUGGCGAAGGCGAGUCCCUGGACAACUCCUGACACUGAGGCACGAAAGCUAGGGGAGCAAACAGG